CUUGUCUAUACAAUCCAGGAGUGGGACAGAGUGGGACCCCGGAUAGAGGUUUGGGUCUGGAAUGGAGGUCUGGGUCAGGGCCCUGGAUGCAGUUGUGAGCCCUAGCAAGGAGGUCUGGGCCCCAGAUGGAGACAAAAA
This is a long non-coding RNA of Myotis davidii, 138 nucleotides long. RefSeq lists it as uncharacterized. The record is from RefSeq and is a predicted model, not a curated record. Lineage: Eukaryota; Metazoa; Chordata; Mammalia; Chiroptera; Vespertilionidae. The transcript is spliced from 2 exons.